RNAcentral lists this ribosomal RNA (504 nucleotides) under uncultured bacterium. Its description in RNAcentral is "partial 16S ribosomal RNA". It matches the Rfam family "Bacterial small subunit ribosomal RNA", at positions 29 to 523 of the family's 1533-position model. The record is from RNAcentral.
AUUGAACGCUGGCGGCAGGCCUAACACAUGCAAGUCGAGCGGUAACACAGGGAGCUUGCUCCUGGGUGACGAGCGGCGGACGGGUGAGUAAUGUCUGGGAAACUGCCUGAUGGAGGGGGAUAACUACUGGAAACGGUAGCUAAUACCGCAUAACGUCGCAAGACCAAAGAGGGGGAGCUUCGGGCCUCUUGCCAUCAGAUGUGCCCAGAUGGGAUUAGCUAGUAGGUGGGGUAACGGCUCACCUAAGCGACGAUCCCUAGCUGGUCUCAGAGGAUGGCCCGCAGCACUGGAACGGAGACCCGGUCCCGACUCCUACGGGAGGCAGCAGUGGGGAAUAUUGCACAAUGGGCGCAAGCCUGAUGCACCCAUGCCGCGUGUAUGAAGAAGGCCUUAGGGUUGUAAAGUACUUUCAGCGGGGAGGAAGGCGUUGAGGUUAAUAACCUCAGCGAUUGACGUUACCCGCAGAAGAAGCACCGGCUAACUCCGUGCCAGCCGCCGCCGUAA